This 468-nucleotide ribosomal RNA is filed under the name uncultured bacterium. RNAcentral describes it as "partial 16S ribosomal RNA". It matches the Rfam family "Bacterial small subunit ribosomal RNA", at positions 28 to 507 of the family's 1533-position model. The record is from RNAcentral.
GACGAACGCUGGCGGCGUGCUUAACACAUGCAAGUCGAACGGAAAGGCCCUGCUUUUGUGGGGUUCUCGAGUGGCGAACGGGUGAGUAACACGUGAGUAACCUGCCCUUGACUUUGGUAUAACUUCAGGAAACUGGGGCUAAUACCGGAUAGGAGCUCCUGCUGCAUGGUGGGGGUUGGAAAGUUUCGGCGGUUGGGGAUGGACUCGCGGCUUAUCAGCUUGUUGGUGGGGUAGUGGCUUACCAAGGCUUUGACGGGUAGCCGGCCUGAGAGGGUGACCGGCCACAAUGGGACUGAGAUACGGCCCAGACUCCUACGGGAGGCAGCAGGGGGGAAUAUUGCACAAUGGGCGGAAGCCUGAUGCAGAAACGCCGCGUGCGGGAUGACGGCCUUCGGGUUGUAAACAGCUUUCGCCUGUGACGAAGCGGGAGUGACGGUAAUGGGUAAAGAAGCACCGGCUAACUACGUG